This is a long non-coding RNA of Mytilus californianus (California mussel), 1103 nucleotides long. RefSeq lists it as uncharacterized. Lineage: Eukaryota; Metazoa; Mollusca; Bivalvia; Mytilida; Mytilidae. The record is from RefSeq and is a predicted model, not a curated record. The transcript is spliced from 2 exons.
ACAACUAACUUUAAAGUUAUACUGUUAAUAUGCAGUAUGCUGAUUGUUAUCAUGAUUUACAUCAUACAUACUGUCAUCGUUUUAAUUCUUUAACACUUAUUUUAACUGUGAGCUAGUUUUGAAAUUUAAUCUAACGCCAUCAUAUAUAAACAAAAUACACAUGCAGAUAGCACGCUUCAAUUGUACAGACCAGCAGAAAGAUUCAUUACCCUCUGCGAAGGCCUCAUAGGGAAAGUGUCACGUGGUUUUCUUAAAUGUUUACAAACACAAGUUAGUCACCACGUGGCGAUAAUAUCAGUCAAGGCUGGCUUUGUUUAUGUGUAGGCCGCUACGGGUUCUACGAAGGAAGACGGCAGGGGCAUUGGUAUAUAAAUACGAGCAAUUAGCUCGUGCAAGCAUAUUUCAAAUAAACAUAGAAUAGGGCAAUUGUGUUUGGAGAGAAAUUAGCAAAGUGCGUUGAUCAUGGAGAAAAAAGAAAUGAGGGAUUUUUUGGGAACAACCACCCAUUUUAAUCCGGCUAUGAACCAAAUCAACCCAGAUGAUGCUGCUAAAGCAAAAUUCAAAUUUAAAGGUGCACAUUAUAUGGGAUCGAAUCCCGAGGCGGCCGGGGUCAGGACACACCAAGGAAGUCCAAAAAUGCAAAUAUUUACUCAACAGUUUAGACGCACAAGAUCAGAAAGUUGUGGAAGUGAAGGGGAACCUGCAUCACCAAUUGGAUCGCCAAUAACUACCCCACCACUCCACGCUGCAAUUCAAGCCAACUCUCAGGCUCAAUUUGGGACACAAGGACAAUCAAUAGCAAACAGUCUAAAAAUGAAGGAGCUUAGGCAUGAAUUUGAUUUCAAAUAAAAAGUUUCGUCCAAGAACUAAUUCUAGUCGGAUUGGCCGUUUACAAAAGACUUUAGUGCUACCUCUCGAGGGCAUAUGUGUACAUUGUAGUGAUCUCGCAUUGUUUUGAUUUUCCAUGAAUGAAUGAAAAGUUAUGACUGAUUGUUUGCGAUCAAAUCGCUUUCGUGGUGAUAAUGAAAGUUUGGUGUGAAUAGUCUCAUAAUGAUAUUUUGUGUAUACAAUAUUUUUUGUCGAAAAUAAAUUUUUCUAUAAAG